Molecule: ribosomal RNA, 694 nt
Filed under: uncultured Arcobacter sp.
Lineage: Bacteria; Pseudomonadati; Campylobacterota; Epsilonproteobacteria; Campylobacterales; Arcobacteraceae
Description: bacterial SSU rRNA
Rfam family: Bacterial small subunit ribosomal RNA
Source: RNAcentral
UGCAGUCGACGAGAACGGAUAUUAGCUUGCUAAUAUUGUCAGCUAAGUGGCGCACGGGUGAGUAAUAUAUAGUUAAUCUGCCCCAAAGAAGAGAAUAAUUGUUGGAAACGACUUGUAACGCUCUAUAUGCCUUUAUUACAUAAGUAAGCAAGGGAAACAUUUAUGGCUUUGGGAUGAGACUGUACGGUAUCAGCUAGUUGGUGAGGUAAUGGCUCACCAAGGCUAUGACAUCUAACUGGUUUGAGAGGAUGAUCAGUCACACUGGAACUGAGACACGGUCCAGACCCCUACGGGAGGCAGCAGUGGGGAAUAUUGCACAAUGGAGGAAACUCUGAUGCAGCAACGCCGCGUGGAGGAUGACACAUUUCGGUGCGUAAACUCCUUUUAUAUGAGAAGAUAAUGACGGUAUCAUAUGAAUAAGCACCGGCUAACUCCGUGCCAGCAGCCGCGGUAAUACGGGGGGUGCAAGCGUUACUCGGAAUCACUGGGCGUAAAGAGCAUGUAGGCUGGUUUGUAAGUUGGAAGUGAAAUCCUAUGGCUUAACCAUAGAACUGCUUCCAAAACUGCAGACCUAGAAUAUGGGAGAGGUAGAUGGAAUUUCUGGUGUAGGGGUAAAAUCCGUAGAGAUCAGAAGGAAUACCGGUUGCGAAGGCGAUCUACUGGAACAUUAUUGACGCUGAGAUGCGAAAGCGUG